Molecule: ribosomal RNA, 459 nt
Filed under: uncultured bacterium
Lineage: Bacteria
Description: partial 16S ribosomal RNA
Rfam family: Bacterial small subunit ribosomal RNA
Source: RNAcentral
CCUACGGGUGGCAGCAGUGAGGAAUAUUGGUCAAUGGGCGAGAGCCUGAACCAGCCAAGUCGCGUGAGGGAGUACUGCCCUAUGGGUUGUAAACCUCUUUUGUCGGGGAGCAAAAGCCGGACGUGUCCGGCUGUGAGAGUACCCGAAGAAAAAGCAUCGGCUAACUCCGUGCCAGCAGCCGCGGUAAUACGGAGGAUGCGAGCGUUAUCCGGAUUUAUUGGGUGUAAAGGGCGUGCAGCCGGAGAGACAAGUCAGAUGUGAAAUCCACGGGCUCAACCCGUGAACUGCAUUUGAAACUGUUUCCAUUGAGUGUCGGAGAGGUAAUCGGAAUUCCUUGUGUAGCGGUGAAAUGCGUAGAUAUAAGGAAGAACACCAGUGGCGAAGGCGGAUUACUGGACGAUAACUGACGUUGAGGCUCGAAAGCGUGGGGAGCAAACAGGAUUAGAUACCCUUGUAGUC